CGUCAGAUAGCUCAGUGGUCUAGAGCAGUCGCCCGGCAAGCGAAAGACCAGGGCUCGAUUCGAUUCCCGUUCUAGCGA
Molecule: transfer RNA, 78 nt
Filed under: Harpegnathos saltator (Jerdon's jumping ant)
Lineage: Eukaryota; Metazoa; Arthropoda; Insecta; Hymenoptera; Formicidae
Rfam family: tRNA
About the family: Transfer RNA (tRNA) molecules are approximately 80 nucleotides in length. Their secondary structure includes four short double-helical elements and three loops (D, anti-codon, and T loops).
Source: Rfam by way of RNAcentral